AAUCCAUAGGUUAAUGAGGCGAACCGGGGGAACUGAAACAUCUAAGUACCCCGAGGAAAAGAAAUCAACCGAGAUUCCCCCAGUAGCGGCGAGCGAACGGGGAGGAGCCCAGAGCCUGAAUCAGCAUGUGUGUUAGUGGAAGCGUCUGGAAAGGCGCGCGAUACAGGGUGACAGCCCCGUACACAAAAGCGCAUGUGCUGUGAGCUCGAUGAGUAGGGCGGGACACGUGGUAUCCUGUCUGAAUAUGGGGGGACCAUCCUCCAAGGCUAAAUACUCCUGACUGACCGAUAGUGAACCAGUACCGUGAGGGAAAGGCGAAAAGAACCCCGGCGAGGGGAGUGAAAAAGAACCUGAAACCGUGUACGUACAAGCAGUGGGAGCACAGGUUUACCUGUGUGACUGCGUACCUUUUGUAUAAUGGGUCAGCGACUUAUAUUCUGUAGCAAGGUUAACCGUAUAGGGGAGCCGGAGGGAAACCGAGUCUUAACCGGGCGUUAAGUUGCAGGGUAUAGACCCGAAACCCGGUGAUCUAGCCAUGGGCAGGUUGAAGGUUGGGUAACACUAACUGGAGGACCGAACCGACUAAUGUUGAAAAAUUAGCGGAUGACCUGUGGCUGGGGGUGAAAGGCCAAUCAAACCGGGAGAUAGCUGGUUCUCCCCGAAAGCUAUUUAGGUAGCGCCUCGUGAACUCAUCUCCGGGGGUAGAGCACUGUUUCGGCUAGGGGGCCAUCCCGGCUUACCAACCCGAUGCAAACUGCGAAUACCGGAGAAUGUUAUCACGGGAGACACACGGCGGGUGCUAACGUCCGUCGUGAAGAGGGAAACAACCCAGACCGCCAGCUAAGGUCCCAAAGUCAUGGUUAAGUGGGAAACGAUGUGGGAAGGCCCAGACAGCCAGGAUGUUGGCUUAGAAGCAGCCAUCAUUUAAAGAAAGCGUAAUAGCUCACUGGUCGAGUCGGCCUGCGCGG
RNAcentral lists this ribosomal RNA (968 nucleotides) under Salmonella enterica subsp. enterica serovar Muenchen. RNAcentral's name for it is "partial 23S ribosomal RNA". It matches the Rfam family "Bacterial large subunit ribosomal RNA", at positions 161 to 1166 of the family's 2925-position model. Lineage: Bacteria; Pseudomonadati; Pseudomonadota; Gammaproteobacteria; Enterobacterales; Enterobacteriaceae. The record is from RNAcentral.